This is a long non-coding RNA of Sciurus carolinensis (gray squirrel), 3492 nucleotides long. RefSeq lists it as uncharacterized. The transcript is spliced from 3 exons. The record is from RefSeq and is a predicted model, not a curated record. NCBI's taxonomy places the organism in Eukaryota, Metazoa, Chordata, Mammalia, Rodentia, Sciuridae.
CCAAGAGUGAAUGAAAGGUCCCCAUGGAUGGUUUUAGCCCUCUGCCUGCGUCAUCAAGUCCACUGGCAGGACGGCACAAAGAACUUCUGCAGUGAGCUGGAUAGGCCUUAGGCUUUCCCACUGACUCCUGAAGUACAGAAUUCGGAUGAUUACACAGGAGGUAAGAGAUAAGGAAGCUGAAGCUCGGAGAAGUAAUGUAAGAUCCAACAGCCAGAAUAAACCACGGGAGGGGUCCCCCAAAAUCACCAGUGACAUGGACCUGAAGGGAUGGUCAGCAGGUCAGAGAACAGAACCAGCGCUGGAAGGUGGAAGGACAGCUGUAAACACGAGAACUGCCCGCUAGCAGGGUAAAGGUGUGACAGUCACUCAAGCCCACACUCGGAGAUCUGGAGUGUCCAGAUUUGUGUUUAAAGAUGCCUGGAGGUAUUAUCUUAGAAAGCUCCGCGUGGACCUUAGGAAAGCUAAGGUGUUCGGCUGCCUAACAGACAUAAGGUAACCAAUGGGCUCAAAGUUCCACUUGGAUAUGAAUCAUAGACUCUGCAUCCAGACUGCGCAGGUAGACGAUUUUCUUGUCAUCAUGCCCUAAAAUACAGUCUAGCACUACUUAUGACACAUUCACGCUGCUUUAGGCAUAAGGAGCAACCUGGAGGUGAUGUGAAGGACACAGGAGGGUGGGUGGAGGUUGCUUGCAGAGACUCCCCAUUUAUGUAUGAGACUUGAGCACCUGCAGAUUCGGGUGUCUGUGGGGGUCAUGGACCCAACCCCCAUGGAUAUCAGGGAUACUGCACUUGAGCAUAAUUAUUCAAUCGUUAAACAAAUUAACCCACUUCCCCACGUGUUGGUAUAGGUGCUUGCUAUUUGGAUCUGGAAUGUUACCCAAAGGCCCAUGUGUUAAUGGCGUGGUCCUUGAUCUGUGGUGCUGUUGGGAGGUGGUGGAACCUCUACGAGGUGGGACCUCAUGGCGGGAAGUUAGGUCACUGGGGGCAUGCCCUUGAAGGGGAUAUUGGGACCCCAGUCCCUUCCUUUCCCUCUUUGCUUCCUAACCAUCACCAGGUGGGCAGCUGCUCUGCCCCAUGAUGUGCUGUUCGCCAUAGGCCCCAAAGCAGCUGGACCAACUGACCAUGAACUGGAACCUCCCAAACUGUGAGCCAAAAUAAACCUUUGUUCUUUUUAAGUUGAUUUUAUCAGGCAUUUUGUUACAGUGAUGAAAAAUGGUCUACAGAGUGUUUAAAAUACAGCAUGCCCUUGCAGAGCUUAUUUUCUAGUGGAAUGGUAGGGAAGAAAGAUAAAAAAAUAAACAUAGUUAAUAGUAUGAAGUGGUGGUAGAAAUGCUAUGGAGAAAAAUAAAGCAGAGUAAGUGAGUGAGGAAUGCAGGGCGGGAGGAGGAACCUCAAAGAUGACGCUUGUGGGGAGAUAGCUCUGAGCAGAGGUCCCAGUGAAUUGAGGGCGUGGGCCAAGCAGGCAAAGAACAGAAAAUGCAAAGGCCCUGAGUCAAGCCUAUGCUGGGUGCUUUCCCGCAGAGACAGGGAGAGUCUUGUCUGAUCUCUGCUGGUUAAACCACGUCUGGAAUAUGUUGAGUAAUUCUGGGAACCAUGUUGAUUGGUAGAUUUUAAGAUAUAGAAGGGUCUGGAACCAGCUCGUAUUAGGAGUGGGUUAAAGAAGAGGGAGACCUAGGCCUACCUGCAUACCUGUGUCAAUACUUGGCACAUGACACGUGUUCCGUAAGUAUUUGUUCAAUCGGGGAAAAAAAUAAAACCCCACACAACUGUAACUGUUCAUCCCUAGUGGAAAAUACCCAAUGAACUUUUCAAAACUGCUAAGAAAUAUAUAAUUUUAUUCAGAAAUCUUAGUGUUGUAAUAAUAAUGGUUCUGCUAUUUAAAAUUUAUUAUAAUAGUAAUAAUGUUCAUGCUAUUAGGAGCUCAGGUUUAUUUUCUUUCUGUGCUGGGGUUUGGACCUUGUGCAUCCUAGGCAAGAAUUCUGUCACUGAGCUACCUGCCAGUCCUAGGAGCUGAGAGUUUUUCAGUGUAAAUGAAAAGGCAUGCAAUUUGAAAAUCAGAGAAAUGACAUUAGAUCUGCAUUAUCUAAAAUUUGAAUUCAAAAUGUCAUUAUGAAUUUAUAAGGCUUUUUUUCUCUUAAAAAUAUUUACGAGUUUUCUCCUAUGUACGUCAAAAAGACCUGGAAGCAAUGGUCAAUAAAAUAGCAACGAACAUAUUUAGCAUCCAGAUGGUGGUCCCUAAAAUCUGUAUUUUUAUUAAAGGCUCCUUGGGGGAAUGGCUGAUUCCAGGUUUUAGGGAGGUAAUGUGCAAGAUGAGCUUAGAAUAUUUCAUUGUGGUAGAAAUAGGGAAGCCAUCCUGUCAAGUUCGUAAAUCACCCGGGAAGGGCCCUUACUAGCCACAGAUGGGACAAUUGGAGUAUCAGAAAGAACGAUGACUUCAAUGGAAUGAAAUAUAUCAAAUUGUUAAGAAUUGUUAAGAAAAAGUCAUUGGUCACUUUUCGCAGGAUGCUAAGAUACUAUCUCAUUAUUCUGGAAAUGGGAAAAUAAAGGGAGGAAGAAAUGUUCCUCUUUUUUGAUGAAUUUCAGCUCAUAAAUGCAGGAGAGAGGAUCAGAGUGUCGUCUUUGGCAAAGCCUCGCGAAGUAACGAGGGAGGCCUGGUGAUCAAUGCGGAGGCAGCUGGGGGAGGCGGGUGGGUUGCUUCCCAAUGUGGACGAGUCAGGCAGCACCUGGACUCAGACCCAGCUCAACAUCAAAAGGGAAUGGGUCACAGGGUGCUGCCUCCAGAUAUGCUGCAAGAGGACCCCACACCUCCUGCACCGCCCGCAACUCAGAACUGGACUCAGAUCGAGUCUCAGCACCUAAGUAUUGGUUCACCGGAAAUGCAGGUGAGAGAGGAGUACCAUGGAGCUGCUGUGGCCAAACUCAGGGAGCAGGAGAUUCUGCAGGAAAAUGAGCUGUUUUCUCCCUCAGGAAAUAAAGGGCACGCCCCGCCCCCACACCAAAAAAACCAAAAAAAUAAAAAAAAUUAAAGGAGGGGACCUGAUAUAGAUCAAAAGGGACUUAUGUCAUACUCCCUUUGUGAACAGGCAGGUCUUGGUGGCAUGUCAUGAGAACAAAUCCAUCAGGAUGGAGUUAUGAACACUGACCAGGUAUUAGACGAUAUUAAAGAAUAUUACAGUUUUAGGUGUAAUAAUGGCGUUUGGCUAUGUUACAGCAAAAAGGCGGCUUUGUGUGUUGCAAAUACACUCUGAAAUAUUGAUGGGAGAAAUGGCAUGCUAUGCAGAAUUUGCUUGAAACCAUCCAGUGAUCCAUGGAGACGGGACGUAGAAGAGGGGAUACCAAGAACGGUGGGAGAGGGACGGGCAGUGGCUGCCGGGGUGGAGAGGAGGUGUCGUGGAAUGCCGUAGGGUGACGGGCUCGUCUUGCGACGACACUAAAAAGCCGCUGAAUUAUAUAUUCUAGAAGGGAGAGUUAUGAGAAUCAGAUCCCAUUUUUC